Molecule: ribosomal RNA, 304 nt
Filed under: uncultured bacterium
Lineage: Bacteria
Description: partial 16S ribosomal RNA
Rfam family: Bacterial small subunit ribosomal RNA
Source: RNAcentral
CAGCAGUCGCCGCGGGAAUACGUAGGGUGCAAGCGUUAAUCGGAAUUACUGGGCGUAAAGCGUGCGCAGGCGGUUAUUCAAGACAGAUGUGGAAUCCCCGGGCUCAACCUGGGAACUGCAUUUGUGACUGGAUGACUAGAGUACGGCAGAGGGGGAUGGAAUUCCGCGUGUAGCAGUGAAAUGCGUAGAUAUGCGGAGGAACACCGAUGGCGAAGGCAAUCCCCUGGGCCUGUACUGACGCUCAUGCACGAAAGCGUGGGGAGCAAACAGGAUUAGAUACCCCCGUAGUCCCUGUCUCUUAUAC